GGGGCAAUGGGGGUUUCGGGAUGGGGACAGUCCCAAUGUUCCGUGAAAUGGUCUCAGCCAGGGAUGGUUAUGGUUUGGGGGGUUGGGAAAGGGAUUAUGAUUUUUAUGGUGGGCAAUAUGAACAGGCAUAUGCGAAUGACAUGCAAUUUUUCCCCAUGAGCAGGCAAUGGGUAAGGGGAGGGAGGUCUAGUCAGUGGGAGGAUUAUAGGCACAAUGGUAAUGGGAUGCCGAGUUUCUAUUUCAGAAAUAGAGAAGAGGAGGAGAGCUGGCGGCAAUGGAGGAAGGAAAAAGAAAGGAGGAUGGAAGAAGCAGGACCUUCUCGGAGACCUGGAAGUGGAACGGGACAAUCGGCACAGAAGGAGGUGGCGGUUUCACAGGAAGUGAGAUCGGCAGGAGGCGUCAGAGAUGCAUCUGUUGGUGAGUUGAAUGAGCAAAAUGUUUUUGAUUCUGAAACAGAUUCAGAUGACUCAGAGAAUGGGACAGAGAGUGAGAAAUUUUUAGCAGUCAUGAAGCGGUAUUUUAGAAAGAGUAUGGGGGGGAAGAUAGUACAAGAAAGCGGAGUAGUAGGUUCGGUUAUGGGGGCAGCAGACACAUAUGCUUGUGCUUUAACGGACACAUCUGCUCAUUUGCCAAGAAAGGUAGUGAGAAAUAUAGAAGCAGGGAAAUUUGUGGAUAUAUAUGAGAUAACGAGGGAGGCAGUGCAGUCCAAAGAAGAGGGCGAAAAAACAGUUGAAAAGGGCAGAAAGAAGUCUAUUUUUGAUUGGUUGAAAGGGUUUUUCGUUUUUGCUAGCUUGUAUUUAAAGAAGCAACCAGAGCAGGGCUUGAACGUGAUAAAAUAUAUGGAUACGAUAGUGGAUACAUAUUUGUUUUACAAGGGGUCAUCCUGGUUUGAUUAUGACAGAGCUUUUAGGAAGAAGAUGGUCAGUUGUAAGAUGUUGUCUUUUGGGCAGAAGGAUAUUGAUUUGUGGACUAGAUGGGUUUCCAGGGAAGGUAACGCAGUUGGCAGUGUCAAAGUGGGAUCUGCAUUUAAACAGAGGAAUGUAUGUUUUGCGUACAAUGAGAGGAGAUGUAGUAGGGGAUUUGCGUGCAAAUUUAAGCAUGCAUGUUUAUCAUGUGGAGCUUCGCAUGUGGUAGGUGAUUGUUUGAAGAAGGGGGAUAAUCAGGGAUUUAGGCAGCCUUUUCGAGCAGCUACACAGAAGAGCGGAAACGCCAAUUCAGACGGAAAGGCUAAGUGAGGCUUUGGCAAAUUAUCCAGACAGGAAGACAGCAGAAUUUUUGGAAAAAGGUUUUAUAGAAGGUUUUAGGAUACCAGUGUUAACCCCCCCCCCGCCAAACGAGAAAGUAAAAAAUUUGAAAUCAGCUAGUAAUCACCCAGAGGCACUGAAACAAAAGAUAGAGAAGGAAGUGGGCUUGGGUAGGAUGGCAGGCCCAUUUAGGGAGAAGCCUAUUGCAGAUUUGGUGGUGUCACCAUUGGGAAUAGUACCGAAAAAGGAGACAGGGAAGUUCAGAAUGAUACAACAUUUGUCAUACCCAGAAGGGGGAUCGGUCAAUGAUGCUUUGGAUAAGGAACAGUGUAGGGUACAAUAUCAAUCAUUUGAUGAGGCAUUGGAGGAAGUGAAGAAGUUAGGGGGAGGGGCAUUGUUAGCAAAAGUGGAUAUUGAAUCUGCAUUCAGGUUGUUACCUUUGCAUCCAGACAGCUUUAAAUUAACCGGUUGUUGUUUUCAAGGAGAAUUUUACGUUGAUCUUUGCUUGCCAAUGGGUUGUGCCAUUUCUUGCUCUUAUUUUGAGAUGUUUAGCACGUACUUGCAUUGGGAAUUGGAUAGAAGGACAAGGAACGGAGCUACAGCACACUAUUUGGAUGAUUUCUUGAUUAUGGGACCUAGCAAAUCUGAUAUCUGUAAGAAUAAUUUGAGGAUAUUUUUGCAGUUGCUAAGGGAGCUGGGAGUGCCUGUGGCGGAGGAAAAAACAGUAGAGCCAACCACAAGACUGAUGUAUUUGGGAAUUGAAAUAGACACAGAGGCUAAAGAGUGCAGGUUGCCUAAGGACAAGGUUAAAAAGAUGAGACAAGAGGUCAGGAAGGUGUUAUCGGCAAAUAAGGUAGCCUUGAGGGACAUGCAGAAGGUCCUGGGCUUGUUGAACUUCGCCUGUAGGAUCAUACCAAUGGGCCGUGUUUUUAAUAGGAGGCUAGAGAAAUCUACAGCAGGAGUUAAGAAGCCUUUUCACAAAAUAAGGGUUACAAAGGAGUUGAGGGAAGAUUUGGUCGUAUGGGAUAGUUUCUUAGAGAAUUUUAAUGGAAUUCGUUUUUGGAGAAAGGAGGUUCAGGCUAAUCAGGAAAUAAAGUUGCUUACGGAUGCGGCAGGCAGUAUUGGAUUUGGUGCUUAUUUGGCAGGGCAAUGGUGUGCGGCAAGGUGGCCGCGGGCUUGGCAGGAGAGCGGUUUGACAAAAAACUUAACUUUGCUGGAAUUAUUCCCCAUUUUGGUAGCGCUAGAAUUAUGGUCGAAAGAGUUGGAAAAUAAGGCAAUUAAGUUUCUUUCUGAUAAUAUGGGAGUAGUUUAUGCGGUAAACAACUUGUCGUCAGAUUCCAUGCCUGUUAUUCGCUUAUUGAGGCAUUUGGUGCUGGUGUGCAUGAAAUUUAAUAUAUCUUUUAGAGCACAGCAUGUCCCAGGGGUGCAAAACACAUUAGCAGAUGCACUGUCAAGGGAAAAGUGGGAUAUUUUCUUUAAACUGGCACCGAAUGCGUCAAAAAUAGCUCAUGCAUGCCCUGAUAAUCUGUGGCAGUUGGUGACCCAAUCCUAGAAGAUCUAUUUGAAAGGUCGGUAUCAGAAAAAACUGUUUCUACCUACAAAAGGGAAUGGGAAAGAUGGCAGCUAUUCUGCAAGGAUGCAGGGGGUACAACUCCUUGCAGAAUCGUGAUCAUAGGCCAUUCAUUUGUUUAUUGGGCAAGCAAACAUGCAGCAGGGCAAGAAUGGGGGUUACCGGAGGAAAACAUGAAGACUGCAUGGCUGGGCUGGAGAGGUAUGAGGUGGGAACAAUUGAAAGGUAGGUUGGUCUCUACCCUCCGGCAAUGUGAAUUUGUUGAUCUGCUAGUGAUACAUGCAGGAGGAAAUGACUUGACAGUGGGAAAGACUCCAGCACUAAUAGAGGCCAUGAGACAAGAUAUGGAGGAGGUGAUAGGAAACCCGAAGGUGAGGAAGAUAGCAUGGUCGGACAUUAUACAAAGGGGAGAAUGGAGAGGAGCAAUUGACCCUAAAGGUGUGGAGAAAGCAAGGAAGAAAGUAAACAGAGCCAUGCACAAAAUCAUGUAUUCCUCCGGUAAUGGGAUAAUAAGGCAUGAGAAUAUAAAAUACAAGCAAAGAGGUCUUUAUAGAUACGAUAGAGUGCAUUUAUCACGAGAGGGUUUGGAUUUGUUUUUGAAAAACAUUGGUAAUUUUGUGGAGGAAUGGUGGAGGUCACAGGCCAGAUAGGUGGGCCAUGGAAAAAGGGAUAGUAGGCACCCUUCCCUAUUUUUCCAGUGGGUGGCGUCAGCACGGCUCCGGAAAUGGUGAGAUUUACAGUGCAGGCCUACCUUUGGAGAGUCACUAGCGUGGAUCAGACUGAGACUGCACGGUCUUGUCUGAGUUCAGCUGAGAGGCUGGGUUAGCGCCACUAUUGCACAUGAUAGGGAGCAAGAGGAUGGGUAACCGUAGGUCACAGAGUGCGUUUUGCCCUGAAUCUCUGCUCCCUGUAAGUCGGUAAAGGUAUGGGCGGAGGCCCAGAGGAAAUGAUAGGAGCCGCAGCUGUGGGUCAGGGGUGCCUAGUCCUUUUGUGAAUUUGUAAAUAAAGAACGUGACCUCCACAGAUUUUGCCACUAUUCAUGUGUUUGUGUUUUUAUUUAAUUGAAAUGUUAUGAUUCAGUUAAGGUAAAGUUAAAAGAAGGGAGUAGGGGGAUCCUUAGCCUAGUGGGAAAGAGGCCCCUUAGUGGGGCCGAAUGAAUUUAGGCUGGGGCCCCCUCCCCCUGGUUGUACGGUUUUAGGCACUCCUCACUCCUACCCCUCCCACCCCCCUUUUGGCUAGAACAAUGGGCUAGUAAGUCUCGGCGGGAAAAAGGGGGGCGGGAGGAGGGAGCUGAGGGGAGUGCCGUGGGGGUGGUUUAGGGGUUAAAAGGAGAAACAGAGCAGGAGAGCGGGCAUUAACUGUUGUUUUUUGUCUCCCACCCUCCCACCCUAGGAGAAGAUGGAAGCGAAAUAUGGUACUCCAGGGUUCUUGGAACCGAUCGCCUUAGAGGGGUCAGGAAGGAAUUUUUCAUCAGGAUGCAAAUUGGCUAUAGGCUCCUGAGUUUUUUGCCUUCCUCUGGAAUGCCAUUAUCUGUGUAGGUCAAAGAUAGUUGUUCCCCUGACGCAGCUGCGGUUCCACAUUGGGCGUCAGCACGGCUCCGGAAAUGGUGAGAUUUACAGUGCAGGCCUACCUUUGGAGAGUCACUAGCGUGGAUCAGACUGAGACUGCACGGUCUUGUCUGAGUUCAGCUGAGAGGCUGGGUUAGCGCCACUAUUGCACAUGAUAGGGAGCAAGAGGAUGGGUAACCGUAGGUCACAGAGUGCGUUUUGCCCUGAAUCUCUGCUCCCUGUAAGUCGGUAAAGGUAUGGGCGGAGGCCCAGAGGAAAUGAUAGGAGCCGCAGCUGUGGGUCAGGGGUGCCUAGUCCUUUUGUGAAUUUGUAAAUAAAGAACGUGACCUCCACAGAUUUUGCCACUA
RNA transcript from Xenopus laevis (African clawed frog), 4729 nucleotides. RefSeq lists it as uncharacterized. The transcript has 2 exons. NCBI's taxonomy places the organism in Eukaryota, Metazoa, Chordata, Amphibia, Anura, Pipidae. The record is from RefSeq and is a predicted model, not a curated record.